GUUGAACGCUGGCGGCAGGCCUAACCCCUGCCAGUCGAACGAGUGGCGGACGGGUGAGUAAUGUCUGGGAAACUGCCUGAUGGAGGGGGAUAACUAAUGGAAACGGUAGCUAAUACCGCAUACCAUCGGAUGUGCCCAGAUGGGAUUAGCUAGGAGGUGGGGUAAAGGCUUACCUAGGCGACGAUCCCUAGCUGGUCUGAGGGGAUGACCAGCCACACUGGGACUGAGACACGGUCCAGACUCCUACGGGAGGCAGCAGUGGGGAAUAUUGCACAAUGGGCGCAAGCCUGAUGCAGCCAUGCCGCGUGUAUGAAGAAGGCCUUCGGGUUGUAAAGUACUUUCAGCGGGGAGGCGUUACCCACAGAAGAAGCACCGGCUAACUCCGUGCCAGCAGCCGCGGUAAUUC
This 406-nucleotide ribosomal RNA is filed under the name uncultured bacterium. Its description in RNAcentral is "partial 16S ribosomal RNA". It matches the Rfam family "Bacterial small subunit ribosomal RNA", at positions 28 to 526 of the family's 1533-position model. The record is from RNAcentral.